This 483-nucleotide ribosomal RNA is filed under the name uncultured bacterium. Its description in RNAcentral is "partial 16S ribosomal RNA". It matches the Rfam family "Bacterial small subunit ribosomal RNA", at positions 28 to 507 of the family's 1533-position model. The record is from RNAcentral.
GAUGAACGCUGGCGGCGUGCCUAACACAUGCAAGUCGAACGGAGUCGUUUUGGCAAUCUCUUCGGAGAUGGAAUUCUCGACUUAGUGGCGGACGGGUGAGUAACGCGUGAGCAAUCUGCCUUUAAGAGGGGGAUAACAGUCGGAAACGGCUGCUAAUACCGCAUAAAGCAUUAAAUUCGCAUGUUUUUGAUGCCAAAGGAGCAAUCCGCUUUUAGAUGAGCUCGCGUCUGAUUAGCUAGUUGGCGGGGUAACGGCCCACCAAGGCGACGAUCAGUAGCCGGACUGAGAGGUUGAACGGCCACAUUGGGACUGAGACACGGCCCAGACUCCUACGGGAGGCGGCAGUGGGGAAUAUUGCGCAAUGGGGGAAACCCUGACGCAGCAACGCCGCGUGAUUGAAGAAGGCCUUCGGGUUGUAAAGAUCUUUAAUCAGGGACGAAACAAAUGACGGUACCUGAAGAAUAAGCUCCGGCUAACUACGUG